UGGGGAAUAUUGGACAAUGGGCGAAAGCCUGAUCCAGCCAUGCCGCGUGUGUGAAGAAGGCCUUAUGGUUGUAAAGCACUUUAAGCGAGGAGGAGGGUACUGGUAUUAAUACUACCAGCUACUGGACGUUACUCGCAGAAUAAGCACCGGCUAACUCUGUGCCAGCAGCCGCGGUAAUACAGAGGGUGCGAGCGUUAAUCGGAUUUACUGGGCGUAAAGCGUGCGUAGGCGGCUAAUUGAGUCGGAUGUGAAAUCCCCGAGCUUAACUUGGGAAUUGCAUUCGAUACUGGUUAGCUAGAGUGUGGGAGAGGAUGGUAGAAUUCCAGGUGUAGCGGUGAAAUGCGUAGAGAUCUGGAGGAAUACCGAUGGCGAAGGCAGCCAUCUGGCCUAACACUGACGCUGAGGUACGAAAGCGUGGGGAGCAAACAGG
RNAcentral lists this ribosomal RNA (430 nucleotides) under Pseudomonadota bacterium. Its description in RNAcentral is "Proteobacteria bacterium partial 16S ribosomal RNA". It matches the Rfam family "Bacterial small subunit ribosomal RNA", at positions 355 to 776 of the family's 1533-position model. The record is from RNAcentral. Lineage: Bacteria; Pseudomonadati; Pseudomonadota.